CAUAUACACUUCUGCAGUUUAGGAAACAUCAUUGUGUAUUCAAAUUUCCUAAAAAUACUCAAUAAAUCAAACUUUGUUACAAGCUCAUCCAUGAAUUUUCUUCCCCUGCAACAAAGCCAAAUACUAAAUCAAACAUAAAAAAGAUGAACACUAACAGAAAUACAUGAAACACUACUUGUUGUGUAGAAGGAAGAGUUUCUCACAUGAGUUUGGCAAGGCUUACUAGCUCUAAGGCCAUUAGAUUUGCAACCAUUUUAUCGUCCCUUCAAUCGAUUUGAUGUAGGAAUGUGAGGAUGAGUUUCAGGACCUCUAUAAUCGAUAUCAUAAUUUCCUGAAUCAAUGUUUGAUAAAUUCCUUUUUCCUAUCAAGAAAAAAAAUAAACGUUUAGAUUAGUAAAUCCCACGUCACACAUCUCAUAGAGCGGCCCUGAGGAAAAGAAUCCUAGGUCAACACAUUAGCAUCCCUUGUUUAGUCUAAGAAUUUUUUAUUUUUUUUUGGGGGGGGGGGGGGGG
RNAcentral lists this long non-coding RNA (512 nucleotides) under Solanum tuberosum (potato). RNAcentral's name for it is "long non-coding RNA (STUB_LNC010199)". The record is from RNAcentral. Lineage: Eukaryota; Viridiplantae; Streptophyta; Magnoliopsida; Solanales; Solanaceae.